Long non-coding RNA from Cannabis sativa, 402 nucleotides. RefSeq lists it as uncharacterized. The transcript has 2 exons. Lineage: Eukaryota; Viridiplantae; Streptophyta; Magnoliopsida; Rosales; Cannabaceae. The record is from RefSeq and is a predicted model, not a curated record.
GAGUAUCUUGGCCUGUGGCAAAGAAUUUCACAAGCAAAUUGUCCAAGACAACCUAAAAGCCAAGAAUGUGGUUUUUAUGUUUUGAAAUAUAUGACUGACAUCAUCGCACGUGCAAACCCCAACCGUUACAUACAAGAUCAAAAAGCUUUUGGGGGUAAGAAGCAAUACGAUCCAAAAACUGAAUUGUUACCAUUACAGCGAAAGUGGAUAGAACGAUUGAUGGCGCUGAUUCACGAUGACGAUUGAGGUUGAAAGGCCCAAGAAUUUUUCUUCAUUAUGUAAUUUUUUUAGAUUAGCUUGUAGUUAGAUUUAUUAACUUAUUAAUAUUUUUGACUAAUUUUACAUAAGUGUUUGUGUAAUAUUUAAUUACUUUUAUGAAAUGAAAUUAUGUAUUUUAGCCAA